This 392-nucleotide ribosomal RNA is filed under the name uncultured bacterium. RNAcentral's name for it is "partial 16S ribosomal RNA". It matches the Rfam family "Bacterial small subunit ribosomal RNA", at positions 523 to 918 of the family's 1533-position model. The record is from RNAcentral.
AUACGGAGGAUCCGAGCGUUAUCCGGAUUUAUUGGGUUUAAAGGGUGCGCAGGCGGCCAUUUAAGUCAGCGGUUAAAUCGUGGGGCUCAACCCCAUUCUGCCGUUGAUACUGGGUGGCUUGAUUGCGGUCGAGGUUGGCGGAAUUCGUUGUGUAGCGGUGAAAUGCAUAGAUAUGACGAAGAACACCGAUUGCGUAGGCAGCUGACCAGAUCGCAAAUGACGCUCAUGCACGAAAGUGCGGGGAUCGAACAGGAUUAGAUACCCUGGUAGUCCGCACAGUAAACGAUGAAUACUUGUUUUCGGCGAUAUAAUGUCGGAGGCAAAGCGAAAGCGAUAAGUAUUCCGCCUGGGGAGUACGCCGGCAACGGUGAAACUCAAAUGAAUUGACGGGG